This 614-nucleotide ribosomal RNA is filed under the name Drepanopeziza brunnea f. sp. 'multigermtubi'. Its description in RNAcentral is "eukaryotic LSU rRNA". The stretch from base 233 to 386 matches the Rfam family "5.8S ribosomal RNA". The record is from RNAcentral. Lineage: Eukaryota; Fungi; Ascomycota; Leotiomycetes; Helotiales; Drepanopezizaceae.
CUCGCUCAGUAAUGAUCCUCCGUAGGUGAACCUGCGGAAGGAUCAUUACUGAGCGAGCCCCCCGGCGAAUCGGUUAGGCCCGAUGCCGGGGCGAUCGUAACCCGUGCCUACCUACCUUUGUUGCUUUGGCGGGGCGCCCCCCCCGGCCAGCGGCCCCCCGGCUGCUGCGUCCCCGCCAAAGGACCACAACCCGUGCCAUGUCAGUGUCGUCUGAGUACUAUAUAAUAGUUAAAACUUUCAACAACGGAUCUCUUGGUUCUGGCAUCGAUGAAGAACGCAGCGAAAUGCGAUAAGUAAUGUGAAUUGCAGAAUUCAGUGAAUCAUCGAAUCUUUGAACGCACAUUGCGCCCUUUGGCAUUCCGAAGGGCAUGCCUGUUCGAGCGUCAUUACAACCACUCAAGCUCUCGCUUGGUCUUGGGGCACCCGGCACCGGGGCCCCCAAAAUCAGCGGCGGUGCUCGCUAGCUCUACGCGUAGUAAUACCCCUCGCGUCUGACCCUAGCGAGCCACCGGCCGGCAACCCCCCACACCUUUCAGGUUGACCUCGGAUCAGGUAGGGAUACCCGCUGAACUUAAGCAUAUCAAUAAGCGGAGGAAGGAUCAUUACUGAGCGAG